This 545-nucleotide ribosomal RNA is filed under the name uncultured bacterium. RNAcentral describes it as "bacterial SSU rRNA". It matches the Rfam family "Bacterial small subunit ribosomal RNA", at positions 777 to 1322 of the family's 1533-position model. The record is from RNAcentral.
AAUAGAUACCCAGGUAGUCCACGCUGUAAACGUUGGGCGCUAGGUGUGGGGGACCUCUCCGGUUCUCUGUGCCGCAGCUAACGCAUUAAGCGCCCCGCCUGGGGAGUACGGCCGCAAGGCUAAAACUCAAAGGAAUUGACGGGGGCCCGCACAAGCGGCGGAGCAUGCGGAUUAAUUCGAUGCAACGCGAAGAACCUUACCUGGGUUUGACAUCACUCGAAAACUCGUAGAGAUACGGGGUCCUUCGGGGCGGGUGACAGGUGGUGCAUGGCUGUCGCCAGCUCGUGUCGUGAGAUGUUGGGUUAAGUCCCGCAACGAGCGCAACCCUCGUUCGAUGUUGCCAGCGUGUUAUGGCGGGGACUCAUCGAAGACUGCCGGGGUCAACUCGGAGGAAGGUGGGGAUGACGUCAAGUCAUCAUGCCCCUUAUGUCCAGGGCUUCACGCAUGCUACAAUGGCCGGUACAAAGGGUUGCGAUGCCGUGAGGUGGAGCGAAUCCCAAAAAGCCGGUCUCAGUUCGGAUCGGGGUCUGCAACUCGACCCCGUG